RNAcentral lists this transfer RNA (76 nucleotides) under Blastococcus sp. DSM 46786. Its description in RNAcentral is "tRNA_Lys_TTT". It matches the Rfam family "tRNA". Rfam says of the family: Transfer RNA (tRNA) molecules are approximately 80 nucleotides in length. Their secondary structure includes four short double-helical elements and three loops (D, anti-codon, and T loops). Lineage: Bacteria; Bacillati; Actinomycetota; Actinomycetes; Geodermatophilales; Geodermatophilaceae. The record is from RNAcentral.
GGGCCUCUAGCUCAACUGGCAGAGCAGCGGACUUUUAAUCCGCGGGUUGAGGGUUCGAUCCCCUCGGGGCCCACCG